AGAACUGUUAAGGCAAAGGAUGGAAUGAAGGGGUAACGCCCGGAAACGUCCUCUUUAAUACUGCGACGUGCUAAGAGGCGGCAACAGCCAAAUGGUACGAAGCUCGCAGAAGUCGGCAGAGAGUUACCGUAAGGAGUGAACAACUGCUCUACGAAAGCGUCCCAGAGGUGGGGUGUGUAGCCUAUAUGCCGGAAGUCC
RNAcentral lists this non-coding RNA (198 nucleotides) under Candidatus Ornithomonoglobus intestinigallinarum. The record is from RNAcentral. Lineage: Bacteria; Bacillati; Bacillota; Clostridia.